AUGCGAUAAGUAAUGUGAAUUGCAGAAUUCCGUGAAUCAUCGAAUCUUUGAACGCACAUUGCGCCCCCUGGUAUUCCGGGGGGCAUGCCUGUCCGAGCGUCAUUGCAACCCUCAAGCGCGGCUUGCGUGUUGGGCGCCGUCCCCCGUGGACGCGCCCGAAAGGCAGUGGCGGUACCGUGCUCCGGUGCCCGAGCGUAUGGGCUUCAAACCCGCUCUGGUGGCCCGGCCGGCGCUGGCCUCGACCCUCAACUUUACCCAGGUUGACCUCGGAUCAGGUAGGGAUACCCGCUGAACUUAA
Molecule: unclassified non-coding RNA, 298 nt
Filed under: uncultured Chrysosporium
Lineage: Eukaryota; Fungi; Ascomycota; Eurotiomycetes; Onygenales
Description: partial contains 5.8S ribosomal RNA, internal transcribed spacer 2, and large subunit ribosomal RNA
Rfam family: 5.8S ribosomal RNA (bases 1-102)
Source: RNAcentral